GACGGAUAGCGAAUCCUUCAGAAGCAAUUUGGAUAGGCGAAUUUUGAGCAAUGUGUAGCAAGCAUUGGUAUGCUAGUUGCCUAGAACGAGGAAUCGGAGAAGAAGCAGUGUUUACUAAAGUGCUCAAGGUGUUGGGAGGUAAUAUUCUCCAAAGCUGCAUCCACAAAUUAUGAUCAGGCUGUAAAAGAGCAUGAGCAAAAGAAGACAUACCCGGUUCGUCCAUCAAAAAUCGUCUUGUCAACCAUCUUGGCACAUAACGAUUAGCUUCGUCCUCAAUGCCAUAUUUCUUGAUAAGUGCUUGAGUUACCACUGUGUUAGACAAAAAAACUCCGUAAAGAAGAAUAGAUGUAGCAUCGUUCGUCUUCAUUCUCUCGCGAACAGCGUCAAAUAGUUGAUGCUUCUCAUCCAACGAGUUAAUAGCGUCUGGAUGCAAUUCGCAGAGCCUGGGAAGGAACUUUAAUCCAAUAUGAUCCGUAUAAGAAUCCGCUGAACCUUUGUAGUCUUGAGCGAUCGUGUCCAAAUACUUUGUUUUUUCAGAACUUAUAUACUCGUAUGUAAAAGGAGCCUCUAACAUUAUCCCAAGGACAUCCACGA
Schizosaccharomyces pombe (fission yeast) is the source of this 594-nucleotide non-coding RNA. The record is from the annotation of a GenBank genome assembly. Lineage: Eukaryota; Fungi; Ascomycota; Schizosaccharomycetes; Schizosaccharomycetales; Schizosaccharomycetaceae.